GAUGAACGCUGGCGGCGUGCCUAAUACAUGCAAGUCGAGCGAACAGACGAGGAGCUUGCUCCUUUGACGUUAGCGGCGGACGGGUGAGUAACACGUGGUUAACCUACCUAUAAGACUGGGAUAACUUCGGGAAACCGGAUCUAAUACCGGAUAAUAUUUCGAACCGCAUGGUUCGAUAGUGAAAGAUGGCUUUUCUUUCACUUAUAGAUGGACCUGCGCCGUAUUAGCUAGUUGGUAAGGUAACGGCUUACCAAGGCAACGAUACGUAGCCGACCUGAGAGGGUGAUCGGCCACACGGGAACUGAGAAACGGUCCAGACUCCUACGGGAGGCAGCAGUAGGGAAUCUUACGCGAUGGGCGAAAGCGUGACGGAGCAACGCCGCGUGAGUGAUGAAGGUCUUCGGAUCGGAAAACUCUGUUAUUAGGGAAGAACAAAAGUGUAAGUAACUGUGAACGUCUUGACGGUACCUAAUCAGAAAGCCACGGCUAACUACGUG
RNAcentral lists this ribosomal RNA (497 nucleotides) under uncultured bacterium. RNAcentral describes it as "partial 16S ribosomal RNA". It matches the Rfam family "Bacterial small subunit ribosomal RNA", at positions 28 to 507 of the family's 1533-position model. The record is from RNAcentral.